This 350-nucleotide ribosomal RNA is filed under the name uncultured Actinomycetes bacterium. RNAcentral describes it as "bacterial SSU rRNA". It matches the Rfam family "Bacterial small subunit ribosomal RNA", at positions 790 to 1139 of the family's 1533-position model. The record is from RNAcentral. Lineage: Bacteria; Bacillati; Actinomycetota; Actinomycetes.
GUAGUCCACGCCGUAAACGUUGGGCGCUAGGUGUGGGUCUCAUUCCACGAGGUCUGUGCCGCAGCUAACGCAUUAAGCGCCCCGCCUGGGGAGUACGGCCGCAAGGCUAAAACUCAAAGGAAUUGACGGGGCCCCGCACAAGCGGCGGAGCAUGCGGAUUAAUUCGAUGCAACGCGAAGAACCUUACCAAGGCUUGACAUUCAGGGUAAACCAUCAGAAAUGGUGGGUCCGCAAGGGAUCUUGAACAGGUGGUGCAUGGUUGUCGUCAGCUCGUGUCGUGAGAUGUUGGGUUAAGUCCCGCAACGAGCGCAACCCUCGUUCUAUGUUGCCAGCGCGUGAUGGCGGGGACU